Molecule: RNA transcript, 7277 nt
Organism: Synchiropus splendidus (mandarinfish)
Lineage: Eukaryota; Metazoa; Chordata; Actinopteri; Syngnathiformes; Callionymidae
Gene: sema4f
Gene name: sema domain, immunoglobulin domain (Ig), transmembrane domain (TM) and short cytoplasmic domain, (semaphorin) 4F
Exons: 17
Source: RefSeq, a predicted model, not a curated record
CCGCGCGCUCCGCCGUCCUGAGUUCGAGCCGCACCGACACCGCGCGUGCUCAUUUGCGUCCGCGAGAAGCGUCUAUUUUAACGUAUUUCUGGAACGUGCAUUUGUGUCCUGGAUGAACCAUGAAGCCCAGCGGAGAACAUGCAGAGGGCUGAGUCCCUGACACUGGACCUCAGACCCGGAACAGACGCCCACACCGGGAUUAUUCCUCCCCGCCGACGGACGCUACUUUGGAUUACUUUAUUCCAGUUUGUGCGGGCUACAUCGUCCUGCGUCCAACACUUUGCUGUGGGCUUUUUGCCUGGGUGAUAAACCCCGUCACAGUGACUGCGGGUCCACGCACUUGUGUGCGCUUUGUGCCGCGACAGGGACCCGGUGACAGACCAGCCUGACACUCUUUGCUAUUAUUGCUUUGGCUUCUCAGAAUCAACAACCACAAUGACCGGGAUGUAUCGCAUCUGAACCGGUGACUUGGGUCGUAUAGCAGUAUAUCCACGGAGCGGACACCCCGCGCCACCCCCGCCUGGACCCGCACAGGAGCCGAGUCAUGUGCACUACUGCAGGCUUGAUGUUGCUGCUGCUGCCGGUGUGCUGUCUGCUCUCCGGAGCUUCCCAUGCGGCCACUCUCAGCGGACCAGCAGACAAUAUUCUAGGUCCGGACAGGUUUGGCGGUGUGUCCAACUUCAGCACUUUUCUUCUGGACCGCAGCACAGGUGUCCUCCUCAUUGGAGCCAGAGAUGCCAUCCUGUCAGUGGACACCAACAAACUCAACAGCCCACCCAGAAAGAUCAUUUGGAGUGUACCUGAAGAGAAGAGGCGGUCAUGUGUUGCAAAGGGUAAAACCAAGGUGGACUGUAACAACUACAUCCGCCUGCUGGAGUUUCUCGGUGAUGGACGGGUGUACGUGUGUGGAACUUACGCCUUCGAUCCACAGUGUGCCUUUCUUGACCUCUCCUCCUUCAGUUUGGAGAAAACAGAUGAAGGAGGCGUGAACAUGGAGACUGGGAAGGGGAAGUGUCCUUUCGAGCCAAGUCAGCAUUAUACUGCGGUGAUGGCAGGUGGAACCUUGUACACAGCAGCCACAAGCAACUUUCUGGGAACUCACUUUGACAUCUCUCGGGCGACUGGUCCGGAGCAGGAGCGCAUCCGUACGGAGCAGUCCAUCAACUGGCUUAGUGAUCCAGAGUUUGUGAGCUCGGCCUUCAUCCAGCAGUCACCGGACAACAACCCGACGGGUGACGACGACAAGAUCUACUUUUUCUUCACUGAAGUGGCAAAAGAAUACGACUUGUUUACCAAAGUCAAGGUUCCCAGGGUGGCCCGGGUCUGCAGGUCGGAUGUGGGUGGGAUGAAGACUCUGCAGCGUCGCUGGACCACCUUCCUGAAGGCUCAGCUGGUGUGUGAGGACAAGCCCAGUGGCCAGCGGUACAACAUCCUGACCGACGUCUUCACCAUGCAGCUGACACCAGGGGACCCCGACAGCACACACUUCUACGGACUCUUCACAUCUCAAUGGGAACGCGAAGAGUUGUCGGCAGUGUGUGUCUUCAGUCUCUCAGACAUCAGUAAAGUGAUGGACGGCCCCUUUAAGGAGCUGAAGAAAAACUGCCACAACUGGAUCAACCUUGAACCCGUCCCAACACCGCGACCGGGCCAGUGUCUGAACAACGCUAGGAGGGCAGAGGGCUUUGAGUCCUCCCUGAAGCUCCCUGAUAAAGUGCUGACCUUCGUGAGGGACCACCCUCUGAUGGAAACCAGUGUGACAGCAGCGCCCCUUCUGGUGCGAAAGGGAAUCACAUAUACAAAGUUGGCUGUGACACAGGGAAGUGGCAGUGAGGAGCGGAGGGGGGCGGUGCUUCAUCUCGGGACUGAUCGUGGUGAGCUCCACCGGGUGGCAGUAGUGGGUCAAAACGCCACUCUCCUUCAGGAAAUUCCUCUGUUCUCAUCCCAGGAGCCAGUAAACAACAUUCUGCUGUAUCAGGAUGGCGCUGUAGUUGGAAGUCCUCAGUCGCUGGCCCACGUUCAGGCUGUGGGUUGUGAAAUGUUCACCUCCUGCAAGGUGUGCGCUCAGGCACGGGGACUGGGGUGUGUGUGGAGCUCGAAGACAGGCUGCACCACCACAGAGCUGGAUCCAGGUCCGGGUGACGUGGUCGAUAAAGCUCUUCGAGAGUGUGAUAAGGACGAAGGUCGCUGCUCUCCACCAAUCAGAGAGCUGCGUGCCACACUAGGGCUCCGCUUGCUGCUUCGCUGCGUGCAGCUGACGGCACGGUCCUGCAGCUGGGACCACCCCCCGCACCGCCACACCCGUCAACAUCACUCUGACCUGGAGGUGACGGUCACCCCGGAGACGCUAGGAACGUACACGUGCACCUGCCAGGAAACAACAGCAGGAGUCCGGGACACUUCCCCCUGUCGGAGAGCGGCCUAUCAGCUCACCCUGGAGGACCCACAUUCUGGCGGGGCGGUGGGUGAAGGCAGGGGUCGACACGUCCUGGCCAUCUACAUCCUGUGCUUCCUCAGCGGUGUGUUGUUUGGUGUCCUGGUGCUUUACCUAUUGAAGCGUCAGAGGAGCGUCUCCCGCCAGCUGCCGGACAACUCGCUGUCAUCAGAGAAGGGGCGGGAACUGCUUGGCUCCUCAGCCACACCGCAGUCGCCCAGCAGUGCCAGUUUGCUCUCGGAUGGCUUCCGCUUGAUGGAGAAGCGGAACGGAACCGCCACCACCACCACCUCGACAACUUUACUGAGUAGCCAAGGGAACGGUGGAGGUCACCAUGACAACUCAAGCAACGGAACCCUCUCGUACUCCAGAUCAAAUGGCAGCAAAUACAUGUUAGCAGCCGACACGUUGGAUGGACGGACUAUGGAGCGGGACGGAGGGAGGCCGAAAGGGGGGGGCAGGAAUUCUGGAAGCGGGGGUGAAGUGGACGAGGAGCUGGGGGACGGGCUGUCAGCGGGACUGAAAGGGCUGGAAGAGGAGCUUGCCAAAUACCCUUCCUUCAAAUCGCCGGCCCCACUGGCUCGCUGUGAAGAGAGCUCCAUAUAAAACUUUGGACUUUUGCACAUUGUUCUGAUGACCAAAAAAGUUCAGACGGACAAAGAUAUGAAGUACAUUUAUUUAUGUCUGAGAAGUUCUGGACACUGAUGUACAUAUGCUUAUGUAAAUACAGCGUCUCAAAGAGUCCACAAGUGUGGACGCUAAAAAAAGCCAUAUUGACAUCCUCCUGUAUCCUCUGUUCAACUUUUCUGGGUGUGUGUCCUUUAUGUCACUGGUCAACAAGCAUAGGUCCCUAAGAACACGGCCAUAAAUGGAGUACCCCACCCACUGAAUUCCCAAACAGUUUCACCUAGAAAUUGUCAACAACUUGGGCACACUCACGUUUGCCACUGAUGGACUGUGAAGCCACAGACGCAACAAGGUGGUCAAGCAAAUGUCAAUCACUUUUCUUGAGGACUAAGGAUGCUGGGCAAACGCUGGCAUCUGUAGCAGUGCUGAACUGGACCUGAACGAUCACACAACCAUCAUCACCUUCAAUUCUGAACCCAAAUCAGUUUUGUUGUUUUUAUAAUAAAACUUUGCAAAACAAGACAUGCCUAUCGCUGUUUAUGCGAGUGUUUUAAUAAUGUAGAUGUGAAUAGGAAACAUUUUUUGACUAGUUGAGCUUUGUUAUGAACAGCAGUGAUGCCAAUCCAAAGAUUUUAGAGCAGGGUGUUUAUCAGGCUUUAUUACAAUUACAGUUACAGCUUUAUUACAAACAGAUGUACUUCACAGUCACAUGUAACACAAGCAAAAGACGUUUUUAUUGGUCACAUGACCAACUCCAGUGUAGUCAUAAAUAAAUGAGCUGUGUCAGAAAUAAUGAGAUAAGGAGCGACUGAAUUGUGUCUGCUGUUUCCAGUAGUCCGGUCAUCAACCAGCGUAAUGUUGCUGCCCUUUAUUGAAAUCGUUCGCGAUUGUGAAGACACCAUCAGUUUUUGUGGUGCGUCACACUAGUCAGAGAGCAGAUUCCACUCCAGAGAAGCCCUUCUCUUCGUAUAAACGCAUAAAAUAACGCACUGUACUGUACCACUCCAUCACAGAGAGAGGGGAACUCACGUUCGCGUGUGGAAGUGGGAAUUUGAUGUCGUUUUCCAGCUUUAGUAUUCUCAGCAAUUGAGCAGCGUCUUCCUGGAGGGUCUCCUGGUGGCCCACAAAGUCGUACCUGAGAGAGCAGAGAGGACUUGUGAUAUCUCUGCAAUUGCGUUGUAGUCCCCAGGACCAGGGGAUAAGGAUAAGGAUUUUUUUUGUUCCAAUGACAUAAGCAGACAUAACCAACCAACCAACAGAAGCAGCACCUCAAACAAAUAUCAAAGAAAAAAUCCACAAUAACACUGAGCAAAAAGCAAUUUUAUCUGUCAGUCUCGAGCAGUCUUGAAUAGAAAUCCUGAGUCCGGGUGAAAAUGCAUUUGAGAUCGAGACAAAAAAAAGCAAUGUCGAGUACUACAACACAACACCGCAGCGAGUUGGUAGAAGUCAAGGAUGAGAUGUCAGUUACUCACGGAAUGUGACACGGGUGACAGAGUCGGUGCAUCUGCCUCCAGAGGGGCUGGAACGGCUCAUUCAUCUCGGUUGUGGGGUCCAGCAGGUACUGAAUGAAGUUGUGGAAUGACGGUCUGACUCCAAAAUUCACAGCGUCCUCUAGUGUUUCAGGGGGGUUCAACCACUUCCCGUGGAGGCGCAGGAUUUUCUUUCCAAAGUUUUGGUAAAAGUAACUGUUGGGCCGUUGGAACUUUUCCCAGUACACAGAGAUGAGGCGCAUGAGGGGAUCCCGCACAAACAGGAACUUGGUGUAGUGCUUCAGCUUCACCUGCAACCACCAGACGUGAUCAAGGUCUGUUUUCUCACUCCAUAUUGAUAAAGGUCAUAAAUUCCGACCUUCAUCAGGUCCCUGGGACCGCUGGUAAGCUGCAUGAGCUUAUUAGGCACGUGGAGCAGGUGUCCUGGGAUGGAUGAGGGGUCAGCAUAUGGGAGGCUUUGGUUGAGGACCCACAUGACCCUCUUCCAGCUGGUGCCCGCCACCUGAUGGUGAGAUGUACUUAAAGUUCAUAAAUGUCAAUAUACCCUGGUUUCCUCCCACAGUCCAAAAACAAUGGCGGUUAACUGAACCGGUCCAGAGAGGCUCCAGGCCCUUCUGAUCUAAUACAAGGAACAAGCAGUAGAUGACAAUGAAUCUCCAUUUGAGUCAUUCAUCUUCAACUCCCAAGAGCUGACCUGUGCAAAGUGCAGCCUGUACACCACAUGUGGACACAUUUCCAAGUUUAACUGCACCAACAUUUAAAUAACAAAGUGAGUCUAUAUUUUCUGACGCAGGCUCCAGCCACUCUGGUGGCACCCUGUGAAUGGUCUCCCACCUUGGGAAUGUAACAGUAGAUGAUUCCAUGAUUGUCGUCCACCAGAAGGUGCUUCAGGUCUUCAUUGCUCAUCUGGUCAAUGCUACGUUUCCCCUCAGAUAUAGAUGCCUUUUUUCUGUCGCAGAAAUCCCUAAACAGGGACUUCCUCAGCUCCUGCAUGCCGUCCUCUGACACAAGACAAAAACACAAACCAAUUGAGGAAAUCCACAAACUAAUCGUUCCGUGUGACAACUCUGUCCUUUGCUUCUACCAACACAGCCAAUUGUCACAGUUUGACAAUUGGCUACGUAUUAUUUUGGUAGGAAUUCACAUCUUGUCAACAUAAAAUCAUCUUAUAUCAUAAAUUAUUCUGGAUAAUAUUUCCAUUUCCAUUUAUUUUUGUCCCAUUUUGUUGUGUUUCAAACAUCUGUUCUGGUGUCCACCUGAGCUGAGCUGUUGAGUCUGUUACUCACCUGGUUCUACUGCUGAGCUCCAGUUGAAGGACAGAAACACCAGAACAGUUAUGCAACACAGAAUCACAAACACCAGCUGUUGGCGUGUCACAGUUCUGCCACUGAGUCCCGACAAGGCCAUCUGUGAGUUCACACUGGCAAAAAACAUCAAGAAUGUGAAAUUAUUUUAUGCACACGUCACUUAAAUAUAGGUCUGCUAGCAUUAGAUAUUAUUAAAGAGGCUGACUUGGAACUGCACUAGUUUAAUACAUGAAAAAAUGAUAAAGAGCCACUAUACCAUUGAACUUGAACAAAUAUAACGGUUAUAUUUUAGCUGAGAAUACGACAUAUUAUUUUUUGUGGGAUUGAGAUGCUUCUUUCCACUGGCACAACACAAAAAGCUGUGAGAAGCAAAGUCCAACUGUAAUUUUCUUAACACCUAAUAGAUAAAGAUGAACUGGAGUUGAAGUUAUUUGAAUCACAAUUGACCGCUAAGGGCUAAAAUUGUGAUAGUUAUCGUCAUUACAAAAUGCUUUACAAUGCAAUGCACUGCCCAUUGUCUGAGAGCUGCGUCUUCAUCAGAGGUCAUGGGUCAUCCAGCAGUACAGUGACCAGAAAAGCAAAGCGCUGGAGACUCCUGAAAUAACUGACAAUGAGUCCAGAUCUGAGUUUUCAGCUGAGCCAGACAAAAACAGAAAGGCUGGUCUUUCACGCAGCAGUUUCUCCUGGCUUCCCUGACGGCAGCCUGGCAGCCUGUCCAAAAACACUCCUAUAAAACUCCUAUAACCCAAAAUCUCAUGUCCCAUUUGACUCUUGAGGAUUCAGAACAGUGAACCCUUGCUCUCACACGCGGACUCAGACAAACAUAGUCAUGUGAUGAUCUCUCCCCCACUGGACUACUGCAACUCUCUCAUGCCUCCAGCUGGUUCAGAACUCAGCAGAUAGGCUUCUAACUGGCUCUAACUGACUUUCUGUCCAAUUUGAUUGAUCAAUUUCCCAUCUUCGAUUGGCCCCUGAUUACAUUGCAGAAAAGUUGACCCCCAAUGAGUCAGCCAGGACCCUCUGAUCCUCAGGUGUGUCUCCGCUGCUGUCAAACAUAAUCAUGAAUAUUGUUGUCACCUUGUCACUGUUUGUUGUGUUUUCAAAGACAAAUGGCUACUCUUUAUUUUGGUAGAGAUUCACAUCUUGUCACCAGGACCCUCUGAUCCUCAGGUGUGUCUCUGCUGCUUGAGUCAAGCUUAAAUCUUGGGGCGACAGAGCCUUCUCCUCAGAGUUAACAUGUACUUCCACCUUAAAAUUCAUGGAUAUAGACUUGCAUUUACAGCACAUCAUCUGAACUUCUAGCUUACUUCUGCUUUUGCCAAGACGUUAUCCAACCACCACGUUUACACAAUGCAUGUUCAGACAUUCAAACAUGCAGUAAAUUCUGAGCACGUUCCUGUUGUAUGUCUGUAAAGCAAU